GACGAACGCUGGCGGCGUGCUUAACACAUGCAAGUCGAACGGAAAGGCCUUUUCGGAGGUACUCGAGUGGCGAACGGGUGAGUAACACGUGGGUGAUCUGCCCUGCACUCUGGGAUAAGCCUGGGAAACUGGGUCUAAUACCGGAUAGGACCGCACUUUAGUGUGUGUGGUGGAAAGUUUUUUCGGUGUAGGAUGAGCCCGCGGCCUAUCAGCUUGUUGGUGGGGUAAUGGCCUACCAAGGCGGCGACGGGUAGCCGGACUGAGAGGUUGGUCGGCCACAUUGGGACUGAGAUACGGCCCAGACUCCUACGGGAGGCAGCAGUGGGGAAUAUUGCACAAUGGGCGCAAGCCUGAUGCAGCGACGCCGCGUGGGGGAUGACGGCCUUCGGGUUGUAAACUCCUUUCGCCAGGGACGAAGCGUUUUGUGACGGUACCUGGAGAAGAAGCACCGGCUAACUACGUG
RNAcentral lists this ribosomal RNA (463 nucleotides) under uncultured bacterium. RNAcentral's name for it is "partial 16S ribosomal RNA". It matches the Rfam family "Bacterial small subunit ribosomal RNA", at positions 28 to 507 of the family's 1533-position model. The record is from RNAcentral.